GGGGGGCUUACCAUGCAAGUCGAGCGAGAAAACUCCUUCGGGAGUGGAUUAGCGGCGGACGGGUGAGUAACACGUGGGUAACCUGCCCUAAAGAGGGGAAUAGCCCUCCGAAAGGAGGAUUAAUACCGCAUAAAGUUAGAAAGUCGCAUGGCUUUUUAAUGAAAGGAGUAAUCUGCUUUAGGAUGGACCCGCGGCGCAUUAGCUAGUUGGUGAGGUAACGGCUCACCAAGGCAACGAUGCGUAGCCGACCUGAGAGGGUGAUCGGCCACAUUGGGACUGAGACACGGCCCAGACUCCUACGGGAGGCAGCAGUGGGGAAUAUUGCGCAAUGGGGGAAACCCUGACGCAGCAACGCCGCGUGAGUGAUGAAGGCCUUCGGGUUGUAAAGCUCUGUCUUCUAGGACGAUAAUGACGGUACUAGAGGAGGAAGCCACGGCUAACUACGUGCCAGCAGCCGCGGUAAUACGUAGGUGGCGAGCGUUGUCCGGAUUUACUGGGCGUAAAGGGUGCGUAGGCG
This 517-nucleotide ribosomal RNA is filed under the name uncultured bacterium. RNAcentral describes it as "bacterial SSU rRNA". It matches the Rfam family "Bacterial small subunit ribosomal RNA", at positions 41 to 577 of the family's 1533-position model. The record is from RNAcentral.